CGAAGGGUGCAAGCGUUACUCGGAAUUACUGGGCGUAAAGCGUGCGUAGGUGGUUCGUUAAGUCUGUCGUGAAAUCCCCGGGCUCAACCUGGGAAUGGCGAUGGAUACUGGCGAGCUAGAGUGAGGUAGAGGAGAGUGGAAUUCCCGGUCGUAGCAGUGAAAUAGCGUAGAGAUCGGGAGGGAACAUCAGUUGCGAAGGCGGCUCUCUGGACCAUCACUGACACUGAGGCACGAAAGCGUGGGGAGCAAACAGGAUUAGAUACCCUGGUAGUCCACGCCCUAAACGAUGCGAACUGGACGUUGGGCUCAAUUAGGAGCUCAGUGUCGAAGCUAACGCGUUAAGUUCGCCGCCUGGGGAGUACGGUCGCAAGACUG
RNAcentral lists this ribosomal RNA (375 nucleotides) under uncultured organism. RNAcentral's name for it is "bacterial SSU rRNA". It matches the Rfam family "Bacterial small subunit ribosomal RNA", at positions 526 to 896 of the family's 1533-position model. The record is from RNAcentral.